RNAcentral lists this ribosomal RNA (945 nucleotides) under uncultured bacterium. RNAcentral's name for it is "bacterial SSU rRNA". It matches the Rfam family "Bacterial small subunit ribosomal RNA", at positions 65 to 1005 of the family's 1533-position model. The record is from RNAcentral.
AACGGCAGCGGGUUGUAGCAAUACAAUGCCGGCGAGUGGCGCACGGGUGCGUAACACGUAUGCAACCUACCCUAUACUGGGGCAUAACCUUUAGAAAUGAGGGCUAAUACUCCAUGUAAUUAUGAGAAGGCAUCUUUUUAUAAUUAAAGAUUUAUCGGUAUAGGAUGGGCAUGCGUCCCAUUAGUUAGUUGGUAAGGUAACGGCUUACCAAGACUGUGAUGGGUAGGGGUCCUGAGAGGGUUCACCCCCACACUGGUACUGAGACACGGACCAGACUCCUACGGGAGGCAGCAGUAAGGAAUAUUGGGCAAUGGCCGUAAGGCUGACCCAGCCAUGCCGCGUGCAGGAAGACGGCCUUAUGGGUUGUAAACUGCUUUUUUGUGGGAAUAACCGUAGCUAUGCGUAGCUACCUGCAAGUACCAUAAGAAUAAGCAUCGGCUAACUCCGUGCCAGCAGCCGCGGUAAUACGGAGGAUGCGAGCGUUAUCCGGAAUCAUUGGGUUUAAAGGGUGCGUAGGCUGGUAUUUAAGUCAGUGGUGAAAUUUUCGUGCUUAACAUGAGAGCUGCCAUUGAUACUGGGUACCUAGAGUGUAUUUGAUGUGGGCGGCAUGUGUUGUGUAGCGGUGAAAUGCUUAGAUAUGACACAGAACACCGAUAGCGAAGGCAGCUCACAAAGUUACAACUGACGCUGAUGCACGAAAGCGUGGGGAUCAAACAGGAUUAGAUACCCUGGUAGUCCACGCUGUAAACGAUGAUCACUAGCUGUUGGCGAUAUACAGUCAGUGGCUAAGCUAAAGCGAUAAGUGGUCCACCUGGGGAGUACGUCCGCAAGGAUGAAACUCAAAGGAAUUGACGGGGGCCCGCACAAGCGGAGGAGCAUGUGGUUUAACUCGAUGAUACGCGAGGAACCUUACCUGGGCUUGAACGUAUGGUGCAUUGCAGUGAA